Molecule: small RNA, 97 nt
Filed under: Salmonella enterica
Lineage: Bacteria; Pseudomonadati; Pseudomonadota; Gammaproteobacteria; Enterobacterales; Enterobacteriaceae
Also listed under: 1 other name
Description: partial RtT sRNA
Rfam family: RtT RNA
About the family: This family represents a bacterial cis-regulatory element known as RtT RNA. The exact function of RtT is unknown although it is thought that it may be involved in changing the cellular response in relation to amino acid starvation.
Source: RNAcentral
UAUCUCUCCGUACGGGGAAGGAUGAGAAGCUUCGACUAAGGUUCGAUUCGAGCGCAGCGAGAAAGCGUUGCCGUAGGCAACGACCCGAAGGGCGAAG